Molecule: ribosomal RNA, 496 nt
Filed under: uncultured bacterium
Lineage: Bacteria
Description: partial 16S ribosomal RNA
Rfam family: Bacterial small subunit ribosomal RNA
Source: RNAcentral
AUGCACGCUGGCGGCGUGCCUAAUCCAUGCAAGUCGCGCGAACGGACGAGAAGCUUGCUUUUCUGAUGUUAGCGGCGGACGGGUGAGUAACACGUGGAUAACCUACCUAUAAGACUGGGAUAACUUCGGGAAACCGGAGCUAAUACCGGAUAAUAUUUUGAACCGCAUGGUUCAAAAGUGAAAGACGGUCUUGCUGUCACUUAUAGAUGGAUCCGCGCUGCAUUAGCUAGUUGGUAAGGUAACGGCUUACCAAGGCAACGAUGCAUAGCCGACCUGAGAGGGUGAUCGGCCACACUGGAACUGAGACACGGUCCAGACUCCUACGGGAGGCAGCAGUAGGGAAUCUUCCGCAAUGGGCGAAAGCCUGACGGAGCAACGCCGCGUGAGUGAUGAAGGUCUUCGGAUCGUAAAACUCUGUUAUUAGGGAAGAACAUAUGUGUAAGUAACUGUGCACAUCUUGACGGUACCUAAUCAGAAAGCCACGGCUAACUACGUG